AACGCACAUUGCGCCCUCUGGUAUUCCAUAGGGCAUGCCUGUUUGAGCGUCAUUUCUCUCUCAAACCUUUGGGUUUGGUAUUGAGUGAUACUCUUAGUCGAACUAGGCGUUUGCUUGAAAAGUAUUGGCAUGAGUGUGCUGGAUAGUACGUUCUGAUUAUUCAAUGUAUUAGGUUUAUCCAACUCGUUGAAGGAUCAGGUGUAAAUUUCUGGUUACAUUGGCUCGGCCUUACAACAACAAACAAGUUUGACCUCAAAUCAGGUAAGAAUACCCGCUGAACUUAA
Molecule: unclassified non-coding RNA, 284 nt
Filed under: uncultured Candida
Lineage: Eukaryota; Fungi; Ascomycota; Saccharomycetes; Saccharomycetales
Description: sequence contains ITS2
Rfam family: 5.8S ribosomal RNA (bases 1-52)
Source: RNAcentral